GACGAACGCUGGCGGCGUGCUUAACACAUGCAAGUCGAACGGAAAGGCCCUGCUUUUGUGGGGUGCUCGAGUGGCGAACGGGUGAGUAACACGUGAGUAACCUGCCCUUGACUUUGGGAUAACUUCAGGAAACUGGGGCUAAUACCGGAUAGGAGCUCCUGCUGCAUGGUGGGGGUUGGAAAGUUUCGGCGGUUGGGGAUGGACUCGCGGCUUAUCAGCUUGUUGGUGGGGUAGUGGCUUACCAAGGCUUUGACGGGUAGCCGGCCUGAGAGGGUGACCGGCCACAUUGGGACUGAGCUGCGGCCCAGCCUCCUACGGGAGGCAGCAGUGGGGAAUAUUGCACAAUGGGCGGAAGCCUGAUGCGGCCACGCCGCGUGCGGGAUGACGGCCUGCGGGUUGUAAACCGCUUUCGCCUGUGACGAAGCGUGAGUGACGGUAAUGGGUAAAGAAGCACCGGCUAACUACGUG
This 468-nucleotide ribosomal RNA is filed under the name uncultured bacterium. Its description in RNAcentral is "partial 16S ribosomal RNA". It matches the Rfam family "Bacterial small subunit ribosomal RNA", at positions 28 to 507 of the family's 1533-position model. The record is from RNAcentral.